AAACCGAGGUCUCCGGGAGAGGAAGUUAUUCUAACUUUUUUGGAAACCCUAGCCGGGCUGGGUUGCUAAAUAGUUGUCAGUAGCGAGGGCGGCGCGCUGAUUGGUCGCCGCGACCGGGGGCAGGACGAGUUCUGGGGCCUCCGCCGGCCGCCCCCGCCCCCCGGCGCGGCACUUUCAGUUUUGCCUCCCCCUUCGGCCCCGGCCGCGGCGGGCACCCGGGACUGCCCGGCCUUCGCGCGCGCCGCCCGCGCCUCCGCCCCGGGCUCUGACCGCUCUCCGGCCGUGCCGCGGGCUCAGCCGAUCCCGCUUUGUCUGCUCCUUAACUGGAGAUCGGGCCCCGCCGAGCUGCGGGGUCUCUCCCGCGGCGCGAGGGGUACGGGAGGCAAGUCCUACCCUAGAUGCGCUCCCAGGAGGGGAUCUUCCCAGUCAUAGCACAACAAGGCUUAAAAGCAUGGUUCCCGCUGUACACGGUGGGUAUGGUGGAGAGAGGGGAGGGAAGGCGUCACUUUUCUGGUGCGGAACCCAGCAGCCCGGGGGGCUGGCAGAGGUGGCGGUGACAGUCGCUCCCUGAUUCCAGCCGGGUUCUGGAGCCAGUUUUCCUGAUACGGUGAGUCAAGGGCUCCACUCUGCACCACAGUUUGCAAGUCAGUCCAAAGCGCUCUACGUAGAAUCUGUCAUCAGUCCCACUGCAA
This 692-nucleotide long non-coding RNA is filed under the name Bos indicus x Bos taurus (hybrid cattle). RNAcentral describes it as "lncRNA (ENSBIXG00000025015.1)". Lineage: Eukaryota; Metazoa; Chordata; Mammalia; Artiodactyla; Bovidae. The record is from RNAcentral.